GAUGAACGCUGGCGGCGUGCCUAAUACAUGCAAGUCGAGCGAACAGACGAGGAGCUUGCUCCUCUGACGUUAGCGGCGGACGGGUGAGUAACACGUGGAUAACCUACCUAUAAGACUGGGAUAACUUCGGGAAACCGGAGCUAAUACCGGAUAAUAUAUUGAACCGCAUGGUUCAAUAGUGAAAGACGGUUUUGCUGUCACUUAUAGAUGGAUCCGCGCCGCAUUAGCUAGUUGGUAAGGUAACGGCUUACCAAGGCGACGAUGCGUAGCCGACCUGAGAGGGUGAUCGGACACACUGGAACUGAGACACGGUCCAGAGUCCUACGGGAGGCAGCAGUAGGGAAUAUUACGCAAUGGGCGAAAGCCUGACGGAGCAACGCCGCGUGAGUGAUGAAGGUCUUCGGAUCGUAAAACUCUGUUAUUAGGGAAGAACAAAUGUGUAAGUAACUAUGCACGUCUUGACGGUACCUAAUCAGAAAGCCACGGCUAACUACGUG
Molecule: ribosomal RNA, 497 nt
Filed under: uncultured bacterium
Lineage: Bacteria
Description: partial 16S ribosomal RNA
Rfam family: Bacterial small subunit ribosomal RNA
Source: RNAcentral